CCUACGGGAGGCUGCAGCAAGGAAUCUUCCGCAAUGGGCGACAGCCUGACGGAGCAACGCCGCGUGCGGGAUGACGCCCUUCGGGGUGUAAACCGCUUUUCUUCGGGAAGAACGCCGCUUCGGCGGCUUGACGGUACCGGAGGAAGAAGGACCGGCUAACUACGUGCCAGCAGCCGCGGUAAUACGUAGGGUCCGAGCGUUGUCCGGAGUUACUGGGCGUAAAGCGCGCGCAGGCGGCGGUGUUGGCUCGGCGUGAAAGCCCCCGGCUCAACCGG
This 275-nucleotide ribosomal RNA is filed under the name uncultured bacterium. RNAcentral's name for it is "partial 16S ribosomal RNA". It matches the Rfam family "Bacterial small subunit ribosomal RNA", at positions 338 to 616 of the family's 1533-position model. The record is from RNAcentral.